AACGAACGCUGGCGGCAUGCCUAACACAUGCAAGUCGAACGAGACCUUCGGGUCUAGUGGCGCACGGGUGCGUUACGCGUGGGAACCUGCCCUUAGGCUCGGAAUAACUCCCCGAAAGGGGUGCUAAUACCGGAUAAUGUCUUCGGACCAAAGAUUUAUCGCCUUUGGAUGGGCCCGCGUUGGAUUAGCUAGUUGGUAGGGUAAAAGCCUACCAAGGCGACGAUCCAUAGCUGGUCUGAGAGGAUGAUCAGCCACACUGGGACUGAGACACGGCCCAGACUCCUACGGGAGGCAGCAGUGGGGAAUAUUGGACAAUGGGCGAAAGCCUGAUCCAGCAAUGCCGCGUGAGUGAUGAAGGCCUUAGGGUUGUAAAGCUCUUUUACCCGGGAUGAUAAUGACAGUACCGGGAGAAUAAGCUCCGGCUAACUCCGUG
RNAcentral lists this ribosomal RNA (433 nucleotides) under uncultured bacterium. RNAcentral describes it as "partial 16S ribosomal RNA". It matches the Rfam family "Bacterial small subunit ribosomal RNA", at positions 29 to 507 of the family's 1533-position model. The record is from RNAcentral.